RNAcentral lists this ribosomal RNA (454 nucleotides) under uncultured bacterium. RNAcentral describes it as "partial 16S ribosomal RNA". It matches the Rfam family "Bacterial small subunit ribosomal RNA", at positions 28 to 507 of the family's 1533-position model. The record is from RNAcentral.
GAUGAACGCUGACAGAAUGCUUAACACAUGCAAGUCAACUUGAACUUCGGUUUGGGUGGCGGACGGGUGAGUAACGCGUAAAGAACUUGCCUCACAGCUAGGGACAACAUUUGGAAACGAAUGCUAAUACCUGAUAUUAUGAUUUUAGGGCAUCCUAGAAUUAUGAAAGCUAUAUGCGCUGUGAGAGAGCUUUGCGUCCCAUUAGCUAGUUGGAGAGGUAACGGCUCACCAAGGCGAUGAUGGGUAGCCGGCCUGAGAGGGUGAACAGCCACAAGGGGACUGAGACACGGCCCUUACUCCUACGGGAGGCAGCAGUGGGGAAUAUUGGACAAUGGACCAAGAGUCUGAUCCAGCAAUUCUGCGUGCACGAUGAAGUUUUUCGGAAUGUAAAGUGCUUUCAGUUGGGAAGAAAAAAAUGACGGUACCAACAGAAGAAGUGACGGCUAAAUACGUG